RNAcentral lists this long non-coding RNA (681 nucleotides) under Mytilus galloprovincialis (Mediterranean mussel). The record is from RNAcentral. Lineage: Eukaryota; Metazoa; Mollusca; Bivalvia; Mytilida; Mytilidae.
GUCAUAUAUCCAUUUCAAUUCGUUUUUUAAAAUUUGGGUAUCAUUACAAAAUGUAUUUAUAACUAUAGUACAAUACAACCCAUUAUCCGAAAUACUAUUAAAAUAAGUGUUCGCACUUAUUGAAAACGUUAAAAAAUAUGCAGGCGCAGGUAUGACUGACACAGCUUGGUUCUCAAAAUAAUCUUCGCUUGUUUGGAUUGUUAUUUAAUUGAUGUAUAACCCAUAGAUUGCUCUACUCAAAGAAAUAUUUAAUAUUGUGAUGUUAAAGGUUUCAAAAGUGCAUAAUUAUUGUAGGAUUAGAGUUGAAUUUAGGUUCAUUUGAUUUUGAAGGGAAACGGUACUAUUUAUUCUGCCAUUGGCGACAAUGUUAACAUUUUCUAAAUUUACCACUUUUUAAGAUAAAAACCUGGAUCAAACAGUUAUAUGUUGUGUUAGUACUUUAUUACUCUGUUUUAAAAAUUAAAGCCAAAUAGUAUCAUGACCAACUUCCAACGGAGCUUGUUUAUGUUAUCCAUGCCCACCGUCAUUUUGCACCAGAUUUAUGAAAUUUUGCAAGUCUUUUCGAAUAAUUCUCUAGAAAAUAUUUCAAUAGGUUUUAAAAUUUAUAUUGUAAAUAUACACACUGCAGUUAUUCAUAGAUAAAUAAAAUAUAUUGUACCCUUACAUCCAAUCACAGCGCUC